AGUACAUCUGCCGAAACCUUAGUGGAUUGAUUAGGCGACUUUAAAUAAAUAUAAUCCUCGGGAGCAUCCCGAGCACUAGCCAUCACUGCGGAUGGUGACAUUACCAGUUUGCGGGAACAUUUCAGCCCCGCUGGGUAACCCGCAGUCACGAUCGUGACUCACAGGCUAAAUGGUAAUGGGCGUGGCUGUUUAGGCAGCUAGGCUUCAGAUAUAGUCGGUCCCCAGAUAACUCUGGGAGUCUUAAGGAAUUUGGAUGUCAUAUUUUCCCUUAAGCGAGUCGACGUUCCGUAGGUGAACCUGCGGAAGGAUCAUUA
This 314-nucleotide ribosomal RNA is filed under the name Punctelia caseana. RNAcentral's name for it is "partial 18S ribosomal RNA". The record is from RNAcentral. Lineage: Eukaryota; Fungi; Ascomycota; Lecanoromycetes; Lecanorales; Parmeliaceae.